GAUAGGCUUAACACAUGCAAGUCGAGGGGCAGCAUAAGAGUAUCAAUACUUUGGUGGCGACCGGCGCACGGGUGAGUAACGCGUAUGCAACCUACCCAUAACUGAGGAAUAACCCGUCGAAAGUCGGACUAAUACCUCAUAAUAAUUAUUGUUCGCAUGGAUGAUAAUUUAAAGAUUUAUCGGUUGAAGAUGGGCAUGCGUUCCAUUAGCUUGUUGGUGAGGUAACGGCUCACCAAGGCUACGAUGGAUAGGGGAACUGAGAGGUUUAUCCCCCACACUGGAACUGAGACACGGUCCAGACUCCUACGGGAGGCAGCAGUGAGGAAUAUUGGUCAAUGGAGGCAACUCUGAACCAGCCAAGUCGCGUGAAGGAUGAAGGUCUUAUGGAUUGUAAACUUCUUUUGCAAGGGAAUAAAGUGGGGGACGUGUCCUCCUUUGCAUGUACCUUGCGAAUAAGGAUCGGCUAACUCCGUGCCAGCAGCCGCGGUAAUACGGAGGAUCCGAGCGUUAUCCGGAUUUAUUGGGUUUAAAGGGUGCGCAGGCGGGAUGUUAAGUCGGCGGUGAAAUUUUGCAGCUCAACUGUAAAAGUGCCUUCGAUACUGGCUUUCUUGAGUGUGGAUGAAGUAGGCGGAAUUUGUGGUGUAGCGGUGAAAUGCUUAGAUAUCACGAGGAACUCCGAUUGCGCAGGCAGCUUACUAAACCACUACUGACGCUCAUGCACGAAGGCGUGGGGAUCAAACAGGAUUAGAUACCUUGGUAGUCCACACUGUAAACGAUGAUAACUCGCUGUCGGCGAUACACAGUCGGUGGCCAAGCGAAAGCAUUAAGUUAUCCACCUGGGGAGUACGACCGCAAGGUUGAAACUCAAAGGAAUUGACGGGGGCCCGCACAAGCGGAGGAACAUGUGGUUUAAUUCGAUGAUACGCGAGGAACCUUACCCGGGCUCGAACGGUGCAUGAAUAUACGAGAGAUUGUAUAGUCCUUCGGGACAUGUAUCGAGGUGCUGCAUGGUUGUCGUCAGCUCGUGCCGUGAGGUGUCGGCUUAAGUGCCAUAACGAGCGCAACCCUUGUCAUUAGUUGCCAUCAGGUCAAGCUGGGGACUUUAAUGAGACUGCCACCGUAAGGUGUGAGGAAGGGGGGGAUGACGUCAAAUCAGCACGGCCCUUAUGUCCGGGGCGACACACGUGUUACAAUGGGAGGUACAGAGGGCAGCUAUCCGGUGACGGAAUGCUAAUCUCCAAAACCUUUCUCAGUUCGGAUUGGAGUCUGCAACUCGACUCCAUGAAGGUGGAUUCGCUAGUAAUCGCGCAUCAGCCAUGGCGCGGUGAAUACGUUCCCGGGCCUUGCACUCACCGCCCGUCAAG
This 1364-nucleotide ribosomal RNA is filed under the name uncultured bacterium. RNAcentral's name for it is "bacterial SSU rRNA". It matches the Rfam family "Bacterial small subunit ribosomal RNA", at positions 41 to 1401 of the family's 1533-position model. The record is from RNAcentral.